GUGGGGAAUAUUGGGCAUUGGGCGCAAGCCGGACCCAGCAACGCCGCGUGAAGGAAGAGGGCUUUCGGGUUGUAAACUUCUUUUCUCAGGGACGAAGAAAGUGACGGUACCUGAGGAAUAAGCCACGGCUAACUACGUGCCAGCAGCCGCGGUAAUACGUAGGUGGCAAGCGUUAUCCGGAUUUAUUGGGUGUAAAGGGCGUGUAGGCGGGAGCGCAAGUCAGAUGUGAAAACUCAGGGCUCAACCCUGAGCCUGCAUUUGAAACUGUGUUUCUUGAGUGCUGGAGAGGCAAUCGGAACUCCGUGUGUAGCGGUGAAAUGCGUAGAUAUACGGAGGAACACCAGUGGCGAAGGCGGAUUGCUGGACAGUAACUGACGCUGAGGCGCGAAAGCGUGGGGAGCAAACAGG
RNAcentral lists this ribosomal RNA (408 nucleotides) under uncultured bacterium. Its description in RNAcentral is "bacterial SSU rRNA". It matches the Rfam family "Bacterial small subunit ribosomal RNA", at positions 354 to 776 of the family's 1533-position model. The record is from RNAcentral.